GCACUUACUUCACUAGCACAUAUACUAAAAUUGGAAUAAUACAGAGAAGAUUAGCAUGGUCCCUGUGCAAAGAUGCCAUGCAAAUUUGUGAAGUAUUCCACACUUUU
Molecule: small nuclear RNA, 107 nt
Organism: Saimiri boliviensis boliviensis (Bolivian squirrel monkey)
Lineage: Eukaryota; Metazoa; Chordata; Mammalia; Primates; Cebidae
Source: Ensembl